This 2540-nucleotide ribosomal RNA is filed under the name metagenome. Its description in RNAcentral is "bacterial LSU rRNA". It matches the Rfam family "Bacterial large subunit ribosomal RNA", at positions 14 to 2567 of the family's 2925-position model. The record is from RNAcentral.
AGGGCGCAUGGUGGAUGCCUAGGCUCACGGAGGCGACGAAGGGCGUGGUAAGCUGCGAAAAGCCGCGGGUAGGCGCAAACGGCCUGCGAUCCGCGGAUACCCGAAUGGGACAACCCGGCACCUUUGAGGGUGUCAUCACGCCUGUGGCGUGAGGCUAACGCGGGGAACUGAAACAUCUUAGUACCCGCAGGAAGAGAAAACAACAGUGAUUCCCCCAGUAGUGGCGAGCGAACGGGGAGGAGCCCAAACCGGGGCGGUCCAGGCCGCCCCGGGGUAGUAGGGCCGCGUGGUUGUACCUUGGGGCGCGAGCGGAACGGUCUGGAAAGUCCGGCCAUAGAGGGUGACAGCCCCUUACGCGAAGCGCCUCGGGACAUAGCGGAACCCUGAGUAGCGCGGGACACGUGAAAUCCUGCGCGAAUCCGCCGGGACCAUCCGGCAAGGCUAAAUACUCCCGUGAGACCGAUAGUGUACGAGUACCGUGAGGGAAAGGUGAAAAGCACUCCGAGCAGGAGGGUGAAAGAGACCCUGAAACCAUGCGCCUACAAGCGGUCGGAGCAUACGUUUGUAUGUGACGGCGUGCCUUUUGCAUAAUGAGCCUGCGAGUUGCCGCCGCCGGCGAGGUAUGGUGGCUAAGCCACCGCGCCGCAGUGAAAGCGAGCCUGAAGAGGGCGUCGAGUCGGCGUAGGCAGACGCGAAACCGAGUGAUCUACACAUGUCCAGGGUGAAGUGCCGGUAACACGGCAUGGAGGCCCGAACCGAUAAGCGUUGAAAAGCUUCCGGACGAGGCGUGUGUAGGAGUGAAAGGCCAAUCAAACUCGGAGAUAGCUCGUACUCCCCGAAAUGCAUUUAGGUGCAGCGUGCGGCGUUCCGCAAGAGAGGUAGAGCGACCGAUAGGACGCGAGGGCUUCGCCGCCUAUCAAGUCCUGACGAACUCCGAAUGCUCUUGCGCCGCAGCCGCGCAGUAAGGGGGCGGGUGCUAAGGUCCGUCCCCGAGAGGAGAAGAAUCCGGACCGCCGCCUAAGGUCCCGGAAUCCUGCCUGAGUCAGUCUAACGAAGUGUGACUCCUGAGACAGCCAGGAUGUUGGCUUGGAAGCAGCCAUUCAUUCAAAGAGUGCGUAACAGCUCACUGGUCGAGGGGUCGCGCGUGGAUAAUAAUCGGGUGUAAGGCAGGUACCGAAGGCGCGGGGUAGUAUAUUGAUUUAUAGUACCGGUAGGGGAGCAUUCCAUGCGCGUCGAAUGUAGGGGGCGACCCCUGCUGGAGCGCAUGGAAAAGCAAAUGCAGGCAUAAGUAACGACAAGGGGGGUGGGAUUCCCCCCCGCCGAAAGGCCGAGGUUUCCCGGGCAACGCCAAUCGACCCGGGGUCAGUCGGGCCCUAAGCCUAAGCCGAACGGCGAUGGCGAUGGCAUGACGGUCAACAUUCCGUCACUGCCGCACGGGGCGAUGCGGUGAAGGAGAAGUGAAAGCGCCGCGGGGCGACGGAAGUCCCCGUUGAAGGGCGUAGGCGUAGAGGGGCGUAGUGAAGUACGCGCCCCGAGCCGAACCUGACAGUACCGGCCUCCCUCCGGGGAAGCUGGACAGCGCGCGUAACCAUGCUCCCGAGAAAACCCGCUAAGCUCAACCCGUGCGGCACCCGUACCGCAAACGGACACACGUGGCCGCGUAGAGCAUACUGAGGCGUUGGAAGAUUCACGGUUAAGGAACUAGGCAAACUGGCCCCGUAACUUCGGGAUAAGGGGUCCUCCCUGUUCAGGGGAGGCGCAGAGAAUAGGCCCAGGCAACUGUUUACCAAAAACACAGGGCUGUGCGAAUUCGAAAGAAGCUGUAUACAGCCUGACACCUGCCCGGUGCCGGAAGGUUAAGAGGAGGCGUCACCGCAAGGGAAGCGCCGAAUUGAAGCCCCGGUAAACGGCGGCCGUAACUAUAACGGUCCUAAGGUAGCGAAAUUCCUUGUCGGGUAAGUUCCGACCUGCACGAAUGGUGUAAUGAUCCGGACGCUGUCUCAACCGUGAGCCCAGUGAAAUUGUAGUAUCGGUGAAGAUGCCGAUUACCCGCGAUGGGACGAAAAGACCCCGUGAACCUUUACUGCAGCUUAGCGCUGGCGUUGGUCGUCCGAUGUGUAGGAUAGGCCGGAGGCUUUGAAGUGGGCGCGCCAGCGUCCAUGGAGCCGUCGUUGAAAUACGGCCCUUUGGCCGUCCGGCGCCUAACGCGCGUAUAGUGCGGACACCGCUUGGCGGGCAGUUUGACUGGGGUGGUCGCCUCCAAAAGCGUAACGGAGGCUUCCAAAGGUGCCCUCGGGCCGAUUGGCAACCGGCCUCAUUGAGUGCAAUGGCAUAAGGGCGCUUGACUGGGAGGCAGACAUGCCGAGCAGGCAGGAAACUGGGGCAUAGUGAUCCGGCGGACGUGCAUGGAAACUCCGUCGCUCAAAGGAUAAAAGGUACUCCGGGGAUAACAGGCUGAUCCCCCCCAAGAGCUCACAUCGACGGGGUGGUUUGGCACCUCGAUGUCGGCUCGUCACAUCCUGGGGCUGGAGAAGGUCCCA